UACGGAGGGGGCGAGCGUUAUUCGGAAUUACUGGGCGUAAAGCGCACGUAGGCGGACUACUAAGUCAGGGGUGAAAUCCCGGGGCUCAACCCCGGAACUGCCUUUGAUACUGAUAGUCUCGAGUCCGGAAGAGGUGAGUGGAAUUCCGAGUGUAGAGGUGAAAUUCGUAGAUAUUCGGAGGAACACCAGUGGCGAAGGCGGCUCACUGGUCCGGUACUGACGCUGAGGUGCGAAAGCGUGGGGAGCAAACAGG
This 253-nucleotide ribosomal RNA is filed under the name uncultured bacterium. Its description in RNAcentral is "partial 16S ribosomal RNA". It matches the Rfam family "Bacterial small subunit ribosomal RNA", at positions 524 to 776 of the family's 1533-position model. The record is from RNAcentral.